Molecule: ribosomal RNA, 591 nt
Filed under: Aureobasidium pullulans
Lineage: Eukaryota; Fungi; Ascomycota; Dothideomycetes; Dothideales; Saccotheciaceae
Description: eukaryotic LSU rRNA
Rfam family: Eukaryotic large subunit ribosomal RNA
Source: RNAcentral
CAAGGUAUUGCCCUAGUACGGCGAGUGAAGCGGCAACAGCUCAAAUUUGAAAGCUAGCCUUCGGGUUCGCAUUGUAAUUUGUAGAGGAUGAUUUGGGGAAGCCGCCUGUCUAAGUUCCUUGGAACAGGACGUCAUAGAGGGUGAGAAUCCCGUAUGUGACAGGAAAUGGCACCCUAUGUAAAUCUCCUUCGACGAGUCGAGUUGUUUGGGAAUGCAGCUCUAAAUGGGAGGUAAAUUUCUUCUAAAGCUAAAUAUUGGCGAGAGACCGAUAGCGCACAAGUAGAGUGAUCGAAAGAUGAAAAGCACUUUGGAAAGAGAGUUAAAAAGCACGUGAAAUUGUUGAAAGGGAAGCGCUUGCAAUCAGACUUGUUUAAACUGUUCGGCCGGUCUUCUGACCGGUUUACUCAGUUUGGACAGGCCAGCAUCAGUUUCGGCGGCCGGAUAAAGGCUCUGGGAAUGUGGCCUCCACUUCGGUGGAGGUGUUAUAGCCCAGGGUGUAAUACGGCCAGCCGGGACUGAGGUCCGCGCUUCGGCUAGGAUGCUGGCGUAAUGGUUGUAAGCGACCCGUCUUGAAACACGGGACCACAAACA